UAAAACUCCAACCACUAGAGGGCGCCUGUGAAACGCAUUUAGACUGAUUUAAAACCGUGUGUGUGUGUGUGUGUGUGUGUGUGUGUGUGAGAGAGAGAGAGAGAGAGAGAGAGAGAGAGAGAGAGAGAGUCUUCUAGCCCUACGCCAGUUUCUGACUACAUAGCUGCUGUUGGAUGGAAAGUUUUGGUUGGUGGACUCCAUCACCUCAAAACCACUCAGUUGCUGUACCUGAUACACUCUUAACCCAGCAACACACUCUACCAUCCUUUAUGAGACAGCAGAGAUGUUGGAGGUUGGAGAACACUGGAGAACCCGGACGAAACCCACACAGACACAUGGAGAACAUUUAUUACACAAUUAUUGGACUGUACGAUAUGGGACUGUGCAAUAAUUAUGGAGUUGUGCAUAAACUGUGGAGUUGUGUAACAGUAACGAGGCUGUGCAAUCACCUCAGGUGAAACACUGUCGUUUUAACUCAGAUGAUGACACUACAUGUGAUGUAUGUAUGUAAAUUUGUGAUUGAAUAUAUUGUGUGCAAUUGUGUAUGUUGUCGCUCAAAGCGUUGAGCCCAAGAAAAGUUUUUCCAGAGUGUAUAUCUUCUCUUAUAUUAUGUACAAAAACUCCACUCAGCCCACAUGGACCACUCCAUUACCCCACCAUGAUGUAUCGCCUGAAGAAAUAAGACCAGGAAAUAUCCACAACACAGCCCAUUCUGUUACUGUGUUCUACCUGGGAUCAACCUUAACAAUCCAAUCCUGGUGAUUAAAGGCACAGUCAAAGAUUUCCAAGUCAAAACACUUUUUAAUACUUGGUGUCGUUUAUUUCCUC
Molecule: long non-coding RNA, 828 nt
Organism: Ictalurus punctatus (channel catfish)
Lineage: Eukaryota; Metazoa; Chordata; Actinopteri; Siluriformes; Ictaluridae
Source: Ensembl